GGACUACCGGGGUAUCUAAUCCCGUUUGCUCCCCUGGCUUUCGCGCCUCAGCGUCAGAAAAGGACCAGCACUCCGCUUUCGCCACCGGCGUUCCUGUCGAUAUCAACGCAUUUCACCGCUCCACCGACAGUUCCAAGUGCCCCUGCCUUCCUCCAGCCGCAGUGGUAUCGUAAGCACUUCCCCAGUUAAGCUGGGGGAUUUCACCCACGACCCGCUCGGCCGCCUACGCGCCCUUUAAGCCCAGUGAUUCCGAACAACGUUCGCACGGUUCGUCUUACCGCGGCUGCUGGCAC
This 293-nucleotide ribosomal RNA is filed under the name uncultured Planctomycetota bacterium. RNAcentral's name for it is "uncultured planctomycete partial 16S ribosomal RNA". The record is from RNAcentral. Lineage: Bacteria; Pseudomonadati; Planctomycetota.